CCUGUAAUGGACAAACUUGAUGCUAAUGUGAGUUCUGAGGAGGGUUUCGGGUCAGUGGAGAAGGUGGUGCUGCUCACGUUUCUCUCGACAGUUAUCCUGAUGGCCAUCUUGGGGAACCUGCUGGUGAUGGUGGCUGUGUGCUGGGACAGGCAGCUCAGGAAAAUAAAAACAAAUUAUUUCAUUGUAUCUCUUGCUUUUGCGGAUCUGCUGGUUUCGGUGCUGGUGAUGCCCUUUGGUGCCAUUGAGCUGGUUCAAGACAUCUGGAUUUAUGGGGAGAUGUUUUGUCUUGUUCGGACAUCUCUGGACGUCCUGCUCACAACAGCAUCGAUUUUUCACCUGUGCUGCAUUUCUCUGGAUAGGUAUUACGCCAUCUGCUGCCAGCCUUUGGUUUAUAGGAACAAGAUGACCCCUCUGCGCAUCGCAUUAAUGCUGGGAGGCUGCUGGGUCAUCCCCACGUUUAUUUCUUUUCUCCCUAUAAUGCAAGGCUGGAAUAACAUUGGCAUAAUUGAUUUGAUAGAAAAGAGGAAGUUCAACCAGAACUCUAACUCUACGUACUGUGUCUUCAUGGUCAACAAGCCCUACGCCAUCACCUGCUCUGUGGUGGCCUUCUACAUCCCAUUUCUCCUCAUGGUGCUGGCCUAUUACCGCAUCUAUGUCACAGCUAAGGAGCAUGCCCAUCAGAUCCAGAUGUUACAACGGGCAGGAGCCUCCUCCGAGAGCAGGCCUCAGUCGGCAGACCAGCAUAGCACUCACCGCAUGAGGACAGAGACCAAAGCAGCCAAGACCCUGUGCAUCAUCAUGGGUUGCUUCUGCCUCUGCUGGGCACCAUUCUUUGUCACCAAUAUUGUGGAUCCUUUCAUAGACUACACUGUCCCUGGGCAGGUGUGGACUGCUUUCCUCUGGCUCGGCUAUAUCAAUUCCGGGUUGAACCCUUUUCUCUACGCCUUCUUGAAUAAGUCUUUUAGACGUGCCUUCCUCAUCAUCCUCUGCUGUGAUGAUGAGCGCUACCGAAGACCUUCCAUUCUGGGCCAGACUGUCCCUUGUUCAACCACAACCAUUAAUGGAUCCACACAUGUACUAAGGUGAGUGUACUAAGGGAGUUCAUUGAUUUGGUUGAUUUGUAUUACUCAGAAGGGGUAAUGCUCCAGUUUUCUGUUUCCAAAGGGGUUAUCCCUGAAACCUGCAUAGAGUUUGCAAAGAUUAUAAAAGAUUCUACUAUCU
Molecule: small RNA, 1221 nt
Filed under: Pan troglodytes (chimpanzee)
Lineage: Eukaryota; Metazoa; Chordata; Mammalia; Primates; Hominidae
Description: retained intron
Source: RNAcentral